AGCUGCGGUGAGGUGUGAGCAACCUUUGACCCGCAGAUUUCCGAAUGGGGAAACCCACCCAUCCCGUUUAUCUUUUCCGUGAGCAUCUGUUCGCGGCGAGGGUAAAUGGUGGUGAGGUAUCACUUAGCUGAAUCAUAGGCUUCGUGAAGCGAACCCGGCGAACUGAAACAUCUCAGUAGCUGGAGGAAAAGACAUCAACCGAGAUUCCGUUAGUAGUGGCGAGCGAACGCGGACCAGGCCAGUGCCUGAAUUUCAACUAGCAGAAACCUUUGGAAAGAGGUGCCAUAGCGGGUGACAGCCCCGUAUGCGAAAGUGAGAAUUCAGGACUUGAGUAGGGCGGGACACGUGUAAUCCUGUCUGAACAUAGGGGGACCACCCUCUAAGCCUAAAUACUCGUAUGCGACCGAUAGUGAACUAGUACCGUGAGGGAAAGGUGAAAAGCACCCCGAUGAGGGGAGUGAAACAGUACCUGAAACGGAUUGCCUACAAGCAGUUGGAGGGUCCUUGAGGCCUGACAGCGUACCUCUUGCAUAAUGGGUCUGUGACUUAAUGUAUCAAGCAAGCUUAAGCCGUUAGGUGUAGGCGCAGCGAAAGCGAGUCUGAAUAGGGCGCCAGAGUUUGAUGUAUUAGACCCGAAACCCGGCGAUCUAGGCAUGACCAGGAUGAAGGUGCGGUAACACGCACUGGAGGUCCGAACCGAUUAACGUUGAAAAGUUACCGGAUGAGUUGUGUUUAGGGGUGAAAGGCCAAUCAAGCCGGGAAAUAGCUGGUUCUCCGCGAAAACUAUUGAGGUAGUGCCUCGAGCGAAUACCGUAGGGGGUAGAGCACUGGAUGGAUGCGGGGGUCGCGAGACCUACCAACUCUAACCAAACUCCGAAUACCUACGAGUACUACUCGGGAGACAGACGGCGGGUGCUAAGGUCCGUCGUCAAAAGGGAAACAGCCCUGACCUACAGCUAAGGUCCCCAAGUCAUCACUAAGUGGGAAAGCAUGUGGAACUUCCAAAACAACCAGGAGGUUGGCUUAGAAGCAGCCAUCCUUUAAAGAAAGCGUAACAGCUCACUGGUCUAAAUAAGAGGUUCUGCGGCGAAGAUGUAACGGGGCUAAAGUGAUGCACCGAAGCUUAGGGUGUGGCGUAAGCCACGCGGUAGCGGAGCGUUCCGUAAGCCUGUGAAGCGAUCUGGUAAUGGGUCGUGGAGGUAUCGGAAGUGCGAAUGCAGACAUGAGUAGCGAUAAAAAGGGUGAGAUGCCCUUUCGCCGAAAGACCAAGGGUUCCUGCGCAAGGCUAAUCCGCGCAGGGUGAGCCGGCCCCUAAGACGAGCCCGAAGGGGGUAGUCGAUGGGAACCACGUUAAUAUUCGUGGGCCUGGUGGUGUGUGACGGAUCUCGUGUGUUGUUCUCCCUUAUUGGAUUGGGAGGGCUUCGAAGAGGUUCCAGGAAAUAGCCCCACCGUAUAGACCGUACCCGAAACCGACACAGGUGGUCAGGUAGAGUAUACCAAGGCGCUUGAGAGAAGUGUCCUGAAGGAACUCGGCAAAUUGCCUCCGUACCUUCGGAAGAAGGAGGCCCUCAUCGUGCGCAAGCAUUUUGAGGGGGCACAGGCCAGGGGGUAGCGACUGUUUAGCAAAAACACAGGGCUCUGCUAAGUCGGCUUCAAGACGACGUAUAGGGCCUGACGCCUGCCCGGUGCCUGAAGGUUAAGUGGAGGGGUGCAAGCUCUGAAAUGAAGCCCAGGUAAACGGCGGCCGUAACUAUAACGGUCCUAAGGUAGCGAAAUUCCUUGUCGGGUAAGUUCCGACCUGCACGAAUGGCGUAACGACUUCCCCACUGUCUCCAGGACAUGCUCAGCGAAAUUGAAUUCCCCGUGAAGAUGCGGGGUUCCCGCGGUUAGACGGAAAGACCCCGUGCACCUUUACUGCAGCUUCAGAGUGGCAUUAGGAAAGAACUGUGUAGCAUAGGUGGGAGGCUUUGAAGCGUUGGCGCCAGCUGACGUGGAGCCAUAGGUGAAAUACCACCCUGUUUUUUCUGAUGUCUAAACCUCGAUCCA
This 2046-nucleotide ribosomal RNA is filed under the name Sphingomonas sp. SL9. Its description in RNAcentral is "bacterial LSU rRNA". It matches the Rfam family "Bacterial large subunit ribosomal RNA", at positions 74 to 2236 of the family's 2925-position model. Lineage: Bacteria; Pseudomonadati; Pseudomonadota; Alphaproteobacteria; Sphingomonadales; Sphingomonadaceae. The record is from RNAcentral.